Molecule: ribosomal RNA, 1500 nt
Filed under: uncultured bacterium
Lineage: Bacteria
Description: 16S ribosomal RNA
Rfam family: Bacterial small subunit ribosomal RNA
Source: RNAcentral
ACGAACGCUGGCGGCGUGGAUAAGGCAUGCAAGUCGAACGAUAAGUUUAACAUUGAGGCUUCGGCUGAUUUGUUUAACCGAAAGUGGCGAACUGGUGAGUAAUAUAUGAGUAAUUUGCCGAAAAAUGGGGAAUAACAUUUCGAAAGAGAUGCUAAUACCGCAUAAUACCAUAUCUUCAUAAGAAGAAUUGGUUAAAGGGGGCCUCUCCUUGGAAGCUCUUGUUUUUCGAUAAGCUCAUGUCCUAUUAGCUUGUUGGUAGUGUGAUGGACUACCAAGGCAAAGAUGGGUAGCCGGCCUGAGAGGGUGUACGGUCACACCGGAACUGAGACACUGUCCGGACUCCUACGGGAGGCUGCAGUCGAGAAUCAUUCGCAAUGGACGAAAGUCUGACGAUGCGACGCCGCGUGAGUGAUAUGAAGGCUUUCGAGUCGUAAAACUCUGUCAUGGAGAAUGAAAUGUGUAUAUUUUAAUACAAUAUACAUUUGACAGUACUCCAAAAUGAAGCUCCGGCUAACUUCGUGCCAGCAGCCGCGGUAAUACGAAGGGAGCGAGCGUUGUUCGGAUUUACUGGGCGUAAAGGGUGUCUAGGUGGUUUUGUAAGUUGAAUGUGAAAUCCCUUGGCUCAACCAAGGAAUAGCAUUCAAAACUGCAAUUCUAGAGUGUGAAGAGGAAAACGGAAUUCCAGUGUAGCGGUGAUAUGCGUAGAUAUUUGGAAGAACACCAGUGGCGAAGGCGGUUUUCUGGUUCAAUACUGACACUGAAGCACGAAGGCUAGGGGAGCAAACAGGAUUAGAUACCCUGGUAGUCCUAGCAGUAAACGAUGUGCACUAGAUUUUGGUUAUAUCGACAUAAUCUGAAUCGUAGCUAACGCAUUAAGUGCACCGCCUGGGGAGUACGACCGCAAGGUUGAAACUCAAAGGAAUUGACGGGGACCCGCACAAGCGGUGGAGCAUGUGGUUUAAUUCGACGCAACGCGAAGAACCUUACCCAGACUUGACAUGUAUUGGACCGUUCAUGAAAGUGAACUUUCCUUCGGGACCGAUACACAUGUGUUGCAUGGCUGUCGUCAGCUCGUGUCGUGAGAUGUUGGGUUAAGUCCCGCAACGAGCGCAACCCUUACUCUUAGUUGCCAGCAUGUAAUGAUGGGGACUCUAGGAGGACUGCCAAUUAGAAGUUGGAGGAAGGUGAGGAUGACGUCAAGUCGUCAUGGCCCUUACGUCUGGGGCUACACACGUGCUACAAUGGCUAGUACAAAGAGUCGCUAUACCGUGAGGUUACGCUAAUCUCAAAAAGCUAGUCUAAGUUCGGAUUGAAGUCUGCAACUCGACUUCAUGAAGCUGGAAUCGCUAGUAAUUGCAGAUCAGCUACGCUGCAGUGAAUACGUUCCUGGGUCUUGUACACACCGCCCGUCAAGCCAACCGAGUUGGGUGCACCCGAAGCCGUAAAUCUGACUUCUUCGGAAGAGGAAAACGUCCAAGGUGUGUUCGAUAAGGGGGACUA